RNA transcript from Orcinus orca (killer whale), 6838 nucleotides. It is a transcript of the gene named myeloid leukemia factor 1, with no coding region annotated. The transcript is spliced from 9 exons. The record is from RefSeq and is a predicted model, not a curated record. Lineage: Eukaryota; Metazoa; Chordata; Mammalia; Artiodactyla; Delphinidae.
UAUAAAACCAUAUUUGAAUCUUUUAUUUCACCUUAUUGAAAAAUUUUAGGCACAACAAAAAGCACUGUAAACAACCUAAGCAGUAUGAACCAUGUUACUCUUAGAGGAAUAAUACAUUUAGUAAAAAAAACUACUUGAAAAUUAAAUAAACUGAUGGUUUAUUUGCUUAGAGAUCAGCUUUUACUAGGUGAUCCUUUGAAACAUGUUAGCAGGUCCCAGCUCAUUCUUUUAAAAAUUACAUGUUCAUGCUAGACCUAAGCAGUUGGCCAAAUACUCAUGAUGGGGAAUUGUUUCUGAGAAAACUGGUAAGAGCUCUCACUUCAGUGUUACUUAACCAACUGCUAUACCCUGCAGAGGAAGCCAGCUAAUUGUAGUUUUGAUAAGGCUAUCUGUCAUCAUAGAAUACCUUUCUCUGGUAGCUGAAUGAAAAUCAACUAUGCAUUCCAUACUGAACAGGCCAGAGAUAAGGACUUUUAGGCCUGCCUUACAAACUGCCUUCAGCAGCUGACAUGAGUUAUUUCCCUUUUCUAUUUUGUUCUGCUCGAAUUUGUAUCUAUGAAGACUGUAGCCCAGAACACAAGAUAAGCAUGAAAAGUUCUUGGGCUAAGAUUACCAAUAUAUAGGACAUUUUGAUGCCAUCUUUUUGUAUUUCUGAAACUACUAAAGUUGUAAUCCCUGUUAAAAAUGAAAAAUAUAAAGAACGUAAAAUCAGUUGCAAAAGGGAUGGAAGAUAGACUGAUGACCAAAUACUUGUUUUUAUACAAACAUGUUUUCAUAUUCUAAAUAUAUGCUAGUGGGUUUUUUUUCCUUAGCUAUAAGUGGAAGUGCCCAGUAUGAACUCAGGUGUGUGUGGUUUUCAACAUACACAAAUUUUUAGUGAUUUUUAAAAGGGAUUACUGGUACUGAAUAAUUUUAUAUUUCCUUUAUUACAUAACUUAUAAAUAGUAAAAGGACUAUCACCCUUUGGGGAAUUAUAUUUUAGUGGUCUAGGCAAGAAUAUGGGUUGUCAUUUGGGCCACUAGUGAUUCUCCAGAGAAGCUAGACUAGGCAUUUUUUCUCAGUAUGCCUGAUGUUCCUCAUUUAUAACAUAGUGAAAAUAUUAUGAUCCACUUUAAUUAUAUUUCACACCAGAGUUCCUCUUUGGCAAGUACCCCAAAUACAGAUGCUUGAACUGCAAUAGAUUUAUAUUUUAAAGCUAAAUUUCUCAUAGAGAUAGAGAAUCAAGUUAUUUUUUUAAUUAACUAAACUUUAGUCCCUGCUAAACUCAAUGACUAUUCCCCUUCUUCCUGAUUUCCAAUGUGAUUCAUUUUAAUAUAUUAUUAACUUUGUUUGCCUGCAUCCUGUUGAAGACUACAAUAUUACCACAUAAGCCAAAUCAAAUUUAAUGAGAAAGACUUCAUAGACCACUAUCAAACAUAUCACCAAACUCACGGUAGGCGAUCCAUGCGGGCCUUCUUUAAUAUCCUAAUAUAAUGACUCUAUAAAACAGAACAGUCCCUUUCAUGUCAGUUGACUAGUGGCAACAGUUUGGACUUACAUGAGACCUCAGAGUGUUUUUUGAAACAUUGACUUCACACAAAAUGAUGAGUACUAAUAAUACAAGUUUUCAUUUCUGAACAAGUGCAUUUUCAGGGAAAAUGGAAUAAGAACUUUUUUUUUCUGGCACUCCCUAAUUACGAGGAGGCAGAUACCUAAGAAUAUGAGCACAGAACACGCUGAGUCUUUCACCUACUUCAUUUCAGCAUCCCAGCAGGUGAAAUGAGGAUACUAAUAGCCUAUCUGCCUAUUUUGAUUUUUCAGUAAAAUAACACAAAAGAAAGCCCGUGGUAGAAGAGUGUUUAUGCCAAGGGAACAUUUUGGCAUGGUAGCCCAUCUUAACGGAAAUAUGGAACAAAUAGUCGCAUGGGUAAUUAUUUGAAAAACUACACUCCAUCUUCAGUGUACUCCUUAUGUAUGUGUUUGAACUGCCAUGGCCAAUAGACCCCAGCUUUGUCCCCAGAUUUCUCUGAUGUCCCUCCCUGCCAAGACCACAAGAAACCCUGAUUGCUCUGCAGUUAGUGACCUACUAUCUGCUUACUGGGGGAUCUCAGGGCUUCUUCCAUCAGAUUUACCCACUUACUCGUUAACGUUUUUUUGACUACCUAGUUUGUGCUAGGCAGAGUAAGGGUAGUUGGGUAUACAUAGGUGAAUCCAGUGGGGAUCCUGCCCUCAAGAGGCUUAGUUAUGAAGCCCAGACAUGUAUAUGACAUAAGAGAUAUAAUACUUAGUGGCAGAGGAGAGGACCUGGUUGCAAAAAAGAGAGAGAUUACUGCAAGUGAGAAAAUUAAGGAAGCCUUUGGAGCCACAGGAACUCACAGCUAUCCACUUCCACCUUCCUGGUAGCUGCUGUAGGGGUCUGGGAACUGUUGCACUUCCAACCCAAGGAAGAGUCCCCCUUGUGAAAGACCCAAGUGGCCCCGCCCUCUCGAUCCUAUUAAAAUCCAAGCAAAAUUUUAGGUUCCUGGUCGCCCUCUGGCUUUCUCUGAUCAUUUCUUCCUUUUGGUGGAGAAUCAGCUGAAUAAGCUGAUUUGGCCACUAUCAUCAGUCUUGUAUCACCACCACUUGUCAGCCAAGAUGACUUGAGUGAGACGUGUAAUGGUAGCUGAAGGAGACUUUCAGUACUUCUAAGAAAGGAUUGCAUCUGCCAGUAAGGCCUUGCACAGAAGUGGGGACAACGGUGUGUUCCCUAAUCCCCUGUUUUUCCAUUGUGUGCUAUUACAGAAAGCAUUGUUUUGGAAUGAAAAGACACAGUUCAUUUCCUUGUGGUUAGGUCUGUCUCCAAAUUUUCCUUUGAUUUGGGUAUCAAGUGAAAAUCUUGGUAUCAAGUGAGUAGCUAAGGUAGUAACAAAAGCUAGAAAUGAAACAAGACACGGGACAUUUUUGGUCACUAAACUAUGGAUGAAUUGAUCUGGAAUUCUUACACCCAUGUUACUCCUUCCUUGCCCCCCCUUUCCUACCCCCAAAUUCCUCAUGAGUAUGACAGAAGAGGUCUUGAACCAGCUCCUGGCCAUUACUCAGUGGAUACAGUGCUUGAAUUAUUCAGAAAAUGUUUAAAUGCCAUCCUUUAAAUGUAAGCCCUACUUAUUACUCUUUGGAACUCCUUUAUGGAAUAAUGGAAAAGCGAGUCAUCUUGAUAAGAAAAUAUCUGAGUCUUUACAGAAGAACAAGGAUAAAAAUGGAGGUAAGAAAGAACUCUUUGUGAAUUCUCUAAUCAUCUUCACCUUUUUUCAUAGAGAUGGGUGUUGAUCAGUAUAUUCUAUUUGGUGGGUUCUUUCCCAAAUGAAAGAAAAUGCUCUGUCAUCAUGUAUUUCCAAGUUAUUUUUGCUAUUAUUGUAUCCCCAGAAUCUAGUCCAUGCCUGACACAAGAAGUCUCUCAAUAAAUAUUUGUCAAUGAAGGAAAAAUGAAUUUGCUCAUCUUAAAUGGGCAGUCUGUUUAGCAGUAUGGCUAUUUAAAAUACUCAAGCUAUUUGGAGCCAGUGCAAAAACAAAUAGGUGUCUAGGUAUGUACCCAAAAGAAUUGAAAGCAUGGUCUUAAAGAGGUAUUUGUACACCCAUGUUCAUAGCAGCAUUAUUCAUAAUAGCCAAAACAGGGAAGCAACUCAAGUGUCCAUGGAUGGAUGAAGUAAAAUGCAGUGUGUGUGUGUAUGUAUAUAUAUAUAUAUAUAUAUAUAUAUACACACACAAUGGAAUAUUACUCCGCCUUAAAGAGGAAGGAACAUGUAUGAACCUUGAGGACAUUAUGCAAAGUGAAAUAAUCCAGUCACAAAAAGACAGACGCUAUAUGAUUUACGUAGAAGAGGUACUUAGAGUAAUUAAAAUCAUAAAGGGGGAAAGUAUAAAGGUGGUUGCCAGGGCCUGGGGUGAGGAGAAGUGGGUUUAUUGUUUAAUGGGAAUAGAGUUUCAGUUUUAUAAGAUGAAAAGAGUUACGGGGAUGGAUGGUGGUGAUGGUUGUACAACGGCGUGACUAUGUUUAAUACCACUGAACUGUACACCUAAAAAUGGUUGAGGUGGUAACUGUGUAUAUUUUACCACAAUUUAAAAAUCUAUUUAAAAAAUACUAAAUAAAAAAAAUAGAUGAGUUUUGUGACCAGAUUAGUUUGGUUUCUGUGAUUUGUGUCUCCACACGUCUCUGAGCUGACAAAGGCCUUUGGAAUUCCUGGGGAAUAUAGAGUACACCGGUCUUCUCUAUUACAUUAGCGACUAACAACAGUGGGGCUAGAGUUUAAGCAAGGAUCUUACUAGUCUUCACUUGCCUAGGCUUUCUUUCUGGGCCAAUUUUUAUAUUAUAUAAAUAAUAUUUUAAAUGAUGUAGAUGUGGUCAUUCAAGGUCCACCCACUGGCUUCUGUGACUGCUCUCCUUGCAAAUGAUAGGUCAGUUUUAAAGAAGUAAAGUCUACCAAUAUAGUAAGACAACACUUUUAACUCAACAAUGUACCAUUUUAUUUUUAGGUCUUGAGAAGGAAUGGCAAAAUGAUCCUGCUGCAGUGCUAGGAGAGAAUGAUGAACUGAACUGACCCUCUCUUCUUCACAUCUUGUAACAUGUGUCCGACCAACCACCACAGAGCAUUUCGGAUAUAGGACUCUGCUGUGGAUCACAAAAUGUGGCCGGUGAAUGGGUCUUUGGACGCCAUUUGGCCUAAAUCUUGACCCAUCUCCAUUUUCCCGAAAAGAGACUUGGGGUUCGAGGCCGAGGGGGAUUUGCCCAAGGUCACACAAGGGGUAGACUGAUUUCUGUGUUCCUGCAGCCCAGAGAACAAGCUAUCUUGUGCUACCCGAGGCUUCACGAUGGGUUGCCUGGCUGGCGCGUGGCCAGACUUCCAGUCUCCUGUGUUGAUGGCGGUUGCCAUGGCAGUGGCACAUUGUUUUCCCGCCUCAUCUUGGUGACGUUAUGUGACCAGCGUCCAAUGGGAAAGCAGCUCCGCGUCAAGCACCGCCUUUCCCGACGGGCACUGCCUUAGCGACUGGGAGACAAGCGUCGACAGUGCUGGACCGGCUGGCUCGGGUCGCGGCCGCGGCGUUACAUCGUUUUCCAAUCUGUCCGCAAGCGCCGCCGCCCGAGACAGAGCCAGGAUGUUCGGGAUGCUGAGCAGCAGCUUUGAGGAUGAUCCCUUCUUCUCUGAUUCUUUUAUGGCACACCAAGAAAGUAUGCGACAGAUGAUGAGAAAUUUUUCUGAACCUUUUGGAAGAGACCUGUUCAGCAUCUCUGAUGGCAGAGGAAGAGCUCGUAACCAUACGGGACAUGAGGAUGGAGAAAAUUCCUUGACUGAUAUCCAGAAGGAAGAAGGAAAAAUUGGAAGACUAGUCUAUGCUAGAGCUGUCCCACAGCCAAGGAUACACCACUCACGUACAGAUGUCAACCCUUUUCAGGCAAUGGACCGAAUGAUGUUAAAUAUGCGAAACAGCAUGCAGGAAUUACAAAGAAACUUUGGUAACCUUUCAACGGAUCCAAAUGGACAUUCGUUUAGUUCUUCCUCAGUUAUGACUUAUUCCAAAGUAGGAGAUGAACCACCAAAGGUUUUCCAGGCCUCAACUCAAACCCGCAGGGCUCCAGGAGGAGUAAAGGAAACUAGGAGAGCACUGAGAGAUUCUGAGAGUGGACUAGAAAAAAUGGCUGUUGGUCAUCACCUCCAUGACCGAGCUCAUGUCAUUAAAAAGUCAAAGAACAAGAAGACUGGAGAUGAAGAGGUCAAUCAAGAGUUCAUCAAUAUGAAUGAAAGUGAUGCUCAUGCUUUUGAUGAUGAGUGGCAAAAUGAGGUUCUGAAGUACCAACCAAGGGGACAAUGGCACAAUCUAGAAAACUCUAGGAUGCGAAACAUUGGUCAUGAGAAUUCAGGACUUAAAAGAAGGUAAAAGUUAUUUCUAAACUAAGCUGUGUUUUUUAAAGACAAUUUAGAAGAGAAGUUAUGUAAUUUUACCUCUGUUAUCGGGAAGUUUUGAUUAACAUCCAAGUUGUUUGUAUCAAUAAUAUCUUUUGUGAAAGAUGUAAUAACUUUAUAUUAUUUCUGAGUAUUCCAACACAAAUUUAAAUUUGUAUCUGAAAACCAAUAGUAUUUUAGGAUUAUAUGACUAGUACCUUACUAGCAAAUUAUGCUUUAGACAAUGGGGCUAAAAUCCUCCUAAGGUAGAGCAAUAUACUAUAAUGCAGUUAUUCUUGUGAAACAGAUUUUCAUCUGGAUAGAGUAGGAGUCAUACAUUUUGUACCAGGUAAAGAUACUGGUGUUUAGGGAUAUGGUAAGGAGAGAGGAACUGUAGCUAAAAGGCUGAACAAAACUUCCCUAACAAGUCAAAAUUGAGCAUUUAAUGGUAAAAAGAUUUUUAGACCCUUGUAUAAUAUGUAACAGUAUCUGUAUUAGAUAUCAAAUAUUUUGGAAGAGUUUUGCAAAAACUUUAGCCUCCUUUGGAAUUACCGUUUGGAAUAGCUGCGAAAUAUGAACGUGCUAAUACCACACUUUUAUAGAGAUUAUAGAAAUUUUGACACAUUUAGUAUAUAUCCUAGAGUUACAAUUUUAUUUGAUACUCUGGGGGAACAAUUGAAAACACUACCUAAAUCCUAUUGAAAAUUAGACUCGAGAGAGAGAGGGCUCAGCAGGCCUGAAAACAGAAAUCUGUUCUAGGCUCUAAGAGAGUGGAGAAUUGCUGCAGAAGGUGGAAGCCUUCCCAGAACCAGCGGUCAACAAGGAGAAACUGCAUCAAAGUCCAGCCAUUGAACGUGGAAGAAGAUCAAAUGUUUAUGUGGAUAAACUCAACAUCAAAGGAUCACCUAUGAAAAUCAACAAAAAAUAAAUAGCAUUGCACUUGA